UUUCUACGGAGAGUUUGAUCCUGGCUCAGGACGAACGCUGGCGGCGUGCUUAACACAUGCAAGUCGAACGAUGAUGCCCGAGCUUGCUCGGGUGGAUUAGUGGCGAACGGGUGAGUAACACGUGAGUAACCUGCCCUUCACUCUGGGAUAAGCCUGGGAAACUGGGUCUAAUACUGGAUAUGACGGCGCACUGCAUGGUGUGUUGUGGAAAGAUUUUUUCGGUGAAGGAUGGGCUCGCGGCCUAUCAGCUUGUUGGUGGGGUAGUGGCCUACCAAGGCGGUGACGGGUAGCCGGCCUGAGAGGGCGACCGGCCACACUGGGACUGAGACACGGCCCAGACUCCUACGGGAGGCAGCAGUGGGGAAUAUUGCACAAUGGGCGCAAGCCUGAUGCAGCGACGCCGCGUGGGGGAUGACGGCCUUCGGGUUGUAAACUCCUUUCGCCAUUGACGAAGCCCUUCGGGGUGACGGUAGGUGGAGAAGAAGCACCGGCUGACUACGUGCCAGCAGCCGCGGUAAUACGUAGGGUGCGAGCGUUGUCCGGAAUUAUUGGGCGUAAAGAGCUUGUAGGCGGUUUGUCGCGUCUGCUGUGAAAGCCCGGGGCUUAACUCCGGGUCUGCAGUGGGUACGGGCAGACUAGAGUGUGGUAGGGGAGACUGGAAUUCCUGGUGUAGCGGUGAAAUGCGCAGAUAUCAGGAGGAACACCGAUGGCGAAGGCAGGUCUCUGGGCCAUUACUGACGCUGAGAAGCGAAAGCAUGGGGAGCGAACAGGAUUAGAUACCCUGGUAGUCCAUGCCGUAAACGUUGGGCGCUAGGUGUGGGAUCCAUUCCACGGGUUCCGUGCCGCAGCUAACGCAUUAAGCGCCCCGCCUGGGGAGUACGGCCGCAAGGCUAAAACUCAAAGGAAUUGACGGGGGCCCGCACAAGCGGCGGAGCAUGCGGAUUAAUUCGAUGCAACGCGAAGAACCUUACCAAGGCUUGACAUGCACCGGACGACUGCAGAGAUGUGGUUUCCCUUUGUGGCUGGUGCACAGGUGGUGCAUGGUUGUCGUCAGCUCGUGUCGUGAGAUGUUGGGUUAAGUCCCGCAACGAGCGCAACCCUCGUUCCAUGUUGCCAGCACGUGAUGGUGGGGACUCAUGGGAGACUGCCGGGGUCAACUCGGAGGAAGGUGGGGAUGACGUCAAAUCAUCAUGCCCCUUAUGUCUUGGGCUUCACGCAUGCUACAAUGGCCGGUACAGAGGGUUGCGAGACCGUGAGGUGGAGCGAAUCCCUUAAAGCUGGUCUCAGUUCGGAUUGGGGUCUGCAACUCGACCCUAUGAAGUUGGAGUCGCUAGUAAUCGCAGAUCAGCAACGCUGCGGUGAAUACGUUCCCGGGCCUUGUACACACCGCCCGUCAAGUCACGAAAGUUGGUAACACCCGAAGCCCAUGGCCUAACCAGGUUUUCCUGGGGGGAGUGGUCGAAGGUGGGACUGGCGAUUGGGACUAAGUCGUAACAAGGUAGCCGUACCGGAAGGUGCGGCUGGAUCACCUCCUUUCU
Molecule: ribosomal RNA, 1538 nt
Filed under: Barrientosiimonas humi
Lineage: Bacteria; Bacillati; Actinomycetota; Actinomycetes; Micrococcales; Dermacoccaceae
Description: bacterial SSU rRNA
Rfam family: Bacterial small subunit ribosomal RNA
Source: RNAcentral